Molecule: ribosomal RNA, 173 nt
Filed under: Bartalinia robillardoides
Lineage: Eukaryota; Fungi; Ascomycota; Sordariomycetes; Amphisphaeriales; Sporocadaceae
Description: partial 28S ribosomal RNA
Rfam family: Eukaryotic large subunit ribosomal RNA
Source: RNAcentral
GUUGACCUCGGAUCAGGUAGGAAUACCCGCUGAACUUAAGCAUAUCAAUAAGCGGAGGAAAAGAAACCAACAGGGAUUGCCUUAGUAACGGCGAGUGAAGCGGCAAUAGCUCAAAUUUGAAAUCUGGCGCUUGCGUCCGAGUUGUAAUUUGUAGAGGAUGAUUUUGGUUAGGU